UACGGGGGGGGCAAGCGUUGUUCGGAAUUACUGGGCGGAAAGGGCGCGUAGGCGGUUGGAUAAGUCAGCUGUGAAAACCACGAGCUUAACUCGUGGCCUGCAGUUGAGACUGUCUGGCUUGAGUGUGGGAGAGGAGAGUGGAAUUCCUGGUGUAGCGGUGAAAUGCGUAGAUAUCAGGAGGAACACCGGUGGCGAAGGCGGCUCUCUGGACCACAACUGACGCUGAGGCGCGAAAGCUAGGGGAGCAAACAGG
Molecule: ribosomal RNA, 253 nt
Filed under: uncultured bacterium
Lineage: Bacteria
Description: partial 16S ribosomal RNA
Rfam family: Bacterial small subunit ribosomal RNA
Source: RNAcentral